UUAAUGUCGAUCAUUAAUAUUGCUCUAAUUGUUCUAUUUCUUUCUCUGCAUUCAUCCAAUGCUAGAGUAAUCCCUGUGCCUUACAACCAUCCUGCUAAGGACUUUGUCAAGGGAAAUGAUGUUGUGGGAGAAAAAUCAGUAGGAGAUAGAGAUGGAGUGAGUCAUGUUGUAAAAGAUUCAAUUUCUAAGAGGAAUUUUAGGGUUCAUCAAAAGAAAAGAGGAGAAGAUGAAGAAGCUGCAGGUUUCAACCUUGAUUAUUUGCCGCCUAGGACACAUCCCCCCUCCCAUAAUUAAUUAUAUUUUUUUUUGUAUAUUGGAAAUGGAGGGUGCUAAUACUUUUUGAAGAAAUCAAUGUGCAUUUUUUUGUGGUUCCA
Molecule: long non-coding RNA, 374 nt
Organism: Salvia splendens (bonfire salvia)
Lineage: Eukaryota; Viridiplantae; Streptophyta; Magnoliopsida; Lamiales; Lamiaceae
Exons: 2
Source: RefSeq, a predicted model, not a curated record